GCCCGCAUGGAUCAGUGGUUAGAUCGCCUUCUAAAGUUAGGAAAUUUGAUAUUCGCAUAUUAUGCAGGAGACGGAGGUUCGAAUCCUCCUGUGGGCA
Mycena metata is the source of this 97-nucleotide non-coding RNA. The record is from the annotation of a GenBank genome assembly. NCBI's taxonomy places the organism in Eukaryota, Fungi, Basidiomycota, Agaricomycetes, Agaricales, Mycenaceae.